GUGCUAACUUAGGCUGCACAUAUACUAAAAUUGGAAUGAUACAGAGAAGAUUAGCAUGUCCCCUGCACAAGGAUGACAUGCAAAUUCAUGAAGCAUUUCAUAUAUUU
Small nuclear RNA from Urocitellus parryii (Arctic ground squirrel), 107 nucleotides. NCBI's taxonomy places the organism in Eukaryota, Metazoa, Chordata, Mammalia, Rodentia, Sciuridae. The record is from Ensembl.